GGGUAAAGGCCUACCAGGGCGACGACGGAUAGCCGGCCUGAGAGGGUGGCCGGCCACAGGGGCACUGAAACACGGGUCCCACUCCUACGGGAGGCACCAGUUAGGAAUCUUCCACAAUGGGCGCAAGCCUGAUGGACCGACGCCGCGUGCGGGAUGAAGGCCUUCGGGUUGUAAACCGCUGUCGUAGGGAAUCAAGUGUACGAGGGUACUCCCUUGUAUUUGAGAGAUCCUAGGAGGAAGGGGAGGCUAACCUCGUGCCAGCAGCCGCGGUAAAACGAGCUCCCCAAACGUUAUUCGGUAUUACUGGGCUUAAAGAGUUCGUAGGCGGCUCUGCAGGUGAGAUGUGAAAGCCCUCGGCUUAACCGAGGAACUGCGUUUCAAACCACAGGGCUUGAGGGAGAUAGGGGUAAGCGGAACAGAUGGUGGAGCGGUGAAAUGCAUUGAUAUCAUCUGGAACACCGGUGGCGAAGGCGGCUUACUGGGUCUUUUCUGACGCUGAGGAACGAAAGCUAGGGUAGCGAACGGGAUUAGAUACCCCGGUAGUCCUAGCCGUAAACGAUGAGCACUAGUCUGAGGGACUCUCACAGUUUCUCGGACGUAGCGAAUGUGUUAAGUGCUCCGCCUGGGGAGUAUGGUCGCAAGGCUGAACUCAAAGG
RNAcentral lists this ribosomal RNA (656 nucleotides) under uncultured bacterium. Its description in RNAcentral is "bacterial SSU rRNA". It matches the Rfam family "Bacterial small subunit ribosomal RNA", at positions 255 to 907 of the family's 1533-position model. The record is from RNAcentral.